GGCAUGUUUUCUGAGGAGAAAUUGGAUGUGAUUCUUAUCCUUGCUCCUCUAUAGGUUUCAGCUUAAAUGAUGCUUCUGCCGACCACCUGCCUGCACAGCCAGUACCAAACCACUCCGGAGAUGCUCUCUUUCACGGCACCUGUUUAUCUCACAAGGUUCUCUGUGUGUUCAUUCAUGUGUUUAAUGUCCACAGUCCCCCCGAGAGAAGGCACUGAUCCUCUGCCCUCCUCACAACUCAUGCAGCUCUGGGUUGCCUCAUGCACAGACCACACAGAAAUGUCUGUUGGGAAAUGAUAGAGUUUUUAUUCCUGGGAUUUAUAUGACUGAGUAGAUGAAUGAACAUAUGUGUAAAUAUUGAAGGAGUUGGAAAUUGUCUUCCCAGUGAGGAGUCUAGACCUGAAGGGGGGAUGCCAGACCAGCAUGAGUCGAAGCACCACAGACACAAAGAGAAGCAUUGCAGGCAGAUUGUUUACCAUCUGAGCCACCAGGGGCGUCCCAAAGAGAAGCACCAGCUCCCAUACCAGGGUCUGGGAGUCCCCAUGAAAAGAUGGCCAGUGUCCCCACUUCCAGGGAGGACUUCCAGAGUGUCAUCCAUAGAAAGAUUCUCUGGGGAGGGGAAGAAAUUAGCAACGUCCAGCUGAUUCAAGGAAAGAAUUAAAAAUGGAAACGUAAACCAACAUUUUCAAUGUCAGAGCUGAAAAGUAGCAAAAGAGGUUUCUGUAGAAUAGCCCCAUGGAAUUUCAAAUAAGGUAAGACUUGCCCUUAAAAGCAAACUGUAAAAGUCAAUUCACAGUGUCUCGGAUGUGCAAGUCAUCCUCAAAAGACAUGGCAGGAUGCAGACAACUUCAGCCAAGAGGCAUGUGACACUUGCUAUGUACCUGGAGAGCUUCUAAGCUCUUUGUUGUCCUGAUGACAACUGUGUGGCUCAUUUUGUAGAUGAAGACACUGAGACACAGGGGAGGGAAGUACGUUGCUCAGCCACCCAGCUAAGUGGCAGGAUUGGUGCACAGUGCGGGUGGUUGGCUCCAGACUCUGCCUGAACCACCAGCCCUGUUGACUCCUGGCCGUGACCAUACUGGCUUGUCUGAAAGGAGAAGGGAUAUGUGGCCAGAACCUUUCCACUCUCUUGAUGAUAACUUUUGAUGACAAGAGGCUUUUAACUUCAAUGAAGUCAAACACAUUACUCUUCUUUUAUGAUUAGUGAGUUUCGAGUCCUGAAAUCUUUGCCUACUUGAAAGUCAUGAAAAUAUUCUUGUGUAUUUGAAGCUUCAUAAUUUUAGCCUCCACAUUUGAGCCUGCAAUACAUCUUAAAUUAAUAUUUGUAUGGCAUGAGAUAGAAGUCAAGAUUCUUGUUUUGAUGUAGACAUCUGGACACAGAUGCAUAUUUUAUUUGAAAGAUUUCUGUUUCUCAAAUAAACUCCUUUGGUCCAUUGGUUGAAAAUCAUGUGACCAAUUACAUGUGAGUCUACUUCUGUACACUCUUCUGUUUCUCUGUGAUGGUAAGGCAGGAAAAGAGAAAUUAUAGAAGAUAUACAGAUGGCCAAAAAGCACAAAAAGAUGCUCAACAUCAUUAGCCAUUAGUGAUAGUGAAGUCACUCAGUCGUGUCCGACUCUUUG
Bos taurus (domestic cattle) is the source of this 1617-nucleotide long non-coding RNA. Lineage: Eukaryota; Metazoa; Chordata; Mammalia; Artiodactyla; Bovidae. The record is from Ensembl.